RNAcentral lists this ribosomal RNA (441 nucleotides) under uncultured Rozellomycota. RNAcentral describes it as "bacterial SSU rRNA". It matches the Rfam family "Eukaryotic small subunit ribosomal RNA", at positions 554 to 1018 of the family's 1831-position model. Lineage: Eukaryota; Fungi; Rozellomycota. The record is from RNAcentral.
GGCAAGUCUGGUGCCAGCAGCCGCGGUAAUUCCAGCUCCAAUAGCGUAUAUUAAAGUUGUUGCAGUUAAAAGCUCGUAGUUGGACCUUGGGCAAGAUGCAUCGGGUCAGUCGCAAGACUGGACUCGGUCGUCGCGCCUCUACUGGGGGACUCGUGGCCGCAAGGCGACGGGGCAACCUGCGUUACUGUGAAGAAAUUAGAGUGUUUAAAGCAGGCGAUCGCUUGAAUACAUCAGCAUGGAAUAACAAGACAAGACAUUGGGUCUUCUUGUUGGUUUGGGGAGCAGUGUAAUGAUUAAUAGGGCCAGUUGGGGCAUUAGUAUUCAGUAGUCAGAGGUGAAAUUCUUGGAUUUACUGAAGACUAACUAGUGCGAAAGCAUUUGCCAAGGAUGUUUUCAUUAAUCAAGAACGAAGUUAGGGGAUCGAAGAUGAUCAGAUACCGU